RNAcentral lists this long non-coding RNA (881 nucleotides) under Malus domestica (apple). RNAcentral describes it as "long non-coding RNA (MDOM_LNC009941)". The record is from RNAcentral. Lineage: Eukaryota; Viridiplantae; Streptophyta; Magnoliopsida; Rosales; Rosaceae.
CCACCCACCCUUCCUCCCUCCAUCCCCUCCCUUUUCUCUCCACAGCCGACGCCUAGGACUUACACCCAUAAAAAUGGCGCCCUUCUCCUCAGAUCCCACAGAGCCCCCGUCUCUUCCCACAGCCAGCGCCCUCGUUUCCCUCACCUACGUCAGAACCCCCGCCGGUAUGGCCUCAUUUUGGCUCUUCUCCGACGCUAAGCACAACGACAGCAGCUCUCCCACUGCGUAUUCCAUCACAUGGUCCGAGAUGGGUUGAGGUUCCGAGAUGGGUUUUUGAUUGGAAGGGUCCGAUUGAGAUUUGGAUCGGGUGAAAGUGAGAGAGAGAGAUGAACGAAGUUGGGAGACAAGGGCAAAGAUCUGGUGCGGCGGGGGUGCACCACCAGCGACAAUACUCUGAUAAUUUCUUGGAGACUUCGUCCAACGAAAGGUGGCUCCAGUUAACUGGUCUUCAACACCUUCAGUUUUCCAACUCAUCUGGUUCUCCUCCUCAUGUAUUUUUUUUGCUUUCAUCCGAAUUUAAUCAAAACAUUGUACCAAAUCUGAAAUUUGGGUGCAUUGUAAUCAACAUUUAUUGUUUUUUCCCUUGAAUUUUUUAAUUUUUAAACUUUUUUGGGUAUAUUCUGAUCAAACCCAUAUGAGAUUUUGAUUAAAAUGUUGAAGCUUUGAUCUUUGUAAAUCUUAUGGUAUACUUUUGUAUCUAAAAUGUAGAAGCCUGGAUUGGAUUUUUUGGGGUUCUGUCAACGAAGGAGAAGGGGUGGGGAAGGUGAGGUAGGCGACGGCUCUAUGGGAUCUGAGGAGGAGGGCGCCAUUUUUAUGGGUGUGAGUUCUUCUGGGUGUUAGUUGUGGAAAGGGAUUGUGAGGGAGGGAGGGAUGGAGGGUGG